AAAGAAAAUAACAGUGAUUCCCCUAGUAACUGCGAGUGAAGAGGGACAAGCUCAAAUUUUAAAUCUAUCGGGUUUUGCCCGAUCGAGUUGUAAUUUGAAGAAGCGUUUUCCGCGUAUUUGGUCAACCCAAGUCCUAUUGAAUGAGGCAUCAUGGAGGGUGAUAAUCCCGUCCGGUUGAUCAUUUGCGUUUUACGAUACGCUUUCUAAGAGUCAGAGUUGUUUGGGAUUGCAGCUUAAAAUGGGUGGUAAAUUUCUCCUAAGGCUAAAUAACGGCGAGAGACCGAUAGCGAACAAGUACCGUGAGGGAAAGAUGAAAAGAACUUUGAAAAGAGAGUUAAACAGUACGUGAAAUUGUUGAAAGGGAAACGAUUGAAGCCAGUCGUACCUUCGGGUAAUCAGCCUUUCGGGUGCAAU
This 414-nucleotide ribosomal RNA is filed under the name Rhizophagus intraradices. Its description in RNAcentral is "LSU rRNA". It matches the Rfam family "Eukaryotic large subunit ribosomal RNA", at positions 58 to 467 of the family's 3401-position model. The record is from RNAcentral. Lineage: Eukaryota; Fungi; Glomeromycota; Glomeromycetes; Glomerales; Glomeraceae.